This 483-nucleotide ribosomal RNA is filed under the name uncultured bacterium. RNAcentral's name for it is "partial 16S ribosomal RNA". It matches the Rfam family "Bacterial small subunit ribosomal RNA", at positions 30 to 506 of the family's 1533-position model. The record is from RNAcentral.
AUUGAACGCUGGCGGCAGGCCUAACACAUGCAAGUCGAGCGGAUGAAGGGAGCUUGCUCCUGGAUUCAGCGGCGGACGGGUGAGUAAUGCCUAGGAAUCUGCCUGGUAGUGGGGGAUAACGUCCGGAAACGGGCGCUAAUACCGCAUACGUCCUGAGGGAGAAAGUGGGGGAUCUUCGGACCUCACGCUACCAGAUGAGCCUAGGUCGGAUUAGCUAGUUGGUGGGGUAAAGGCCUACCAAGGCGACGAUCCGUAACUGGUCUGAGAGGAUGAUCAGUCACACUGGAACUGAGACACGGUCCAGACUCCUACGGGAGGCAGCAGUGGGGAAUAUUGGACAAUGGGCGAAAGCCUGAUCCAGCCAUGCCGCGUGUGUGAAGAAGGUCUUCGGAUUGUAAAGCACUUUAAGUUGGGAGGAAGGGCAGUAAGUUAAUACCUUGCUGUUUUGACGUUACCAACAGAAUAAGCACCGGCUAACUUCGU